RNAcentral lists this ribosomal RNA (478 nucleotides) under uncultured bacterium. RNAcentral's name for it is "partial 16S ribosomal RNA". It matches the Rfam family "Bacterial small subunit ribosomal RNA", at positions 28 to 523 of the family's 1533-position model. The record is from RNAcentral.
GACGAACGCUGGCGGCGUGCUUAACACAUGCAAGUCGAACGGUAAGGCCCUUCGGGGUACACGAGUGGCGAACGGGUGAGUAACACGUGGGUGAUCUGCCCUGCACUUCGGGAUAAGCCUGGGAAACUGGGUCUAACACCGGAUAGGACUCCUGGCUUCAUGGUUGGGGGUGGAAAGCUUUUGCGGUGUGGGAUGGGCCCGCGGCCUAUCAGCUUGUUGGUGGGGUAAUGGCCUACCAAGGCGACGACGGGUAGCCGGCCUGAGAGGGUGACCGGUCACACUGGGACUGAGAUACGGCCCAGACUCCUACGGGAGGCAGCAGUGGGGAAUAUUGCACAAUGGGCGUAAGCCUGAUGCAGCGACGCCGCGUGAGGGAUGACGGCCUUCGGGUUGUAAACCUCUUUCAGCUAUGACGAAGCGCAAGUGACGGUAGUAGCAGAAGAAGGACCGGCCAACUACGUGCCAGCAGCCGCCGUAA